AACGAACGCUGGCGGCAUGCCUAACACAUGCAAGUCGAACGAGACCUUCGGGUCUAGUGGCGCACGGGUGCGUAACGCGUGGGAAUCUGCCCUUGGGUUCGGAAUAACUUCGGGAAACUGAAGCUAAUACCGGAUGAUGACGUAAGUCCAAAGAUUUAUCGCUUCGGGAGGGGCCUGCGUCCGAUUAGCUAGUUGGUGAGGUAAAUGCUCACCAAGGCGACGAUCGGUAGCUGGUUUGAGAGGAUGACCAGUCACACUGGGACUGAGAUACGGCCCAGACUCCUACGGGAGGCAGCAGUAAGGAAUCUUCCACAAUGGGGGCAACCCUGAUGGAGCAAUACCGCGUGCAGGAUGAAGCGUUUCGGCGUGUAAACUGCUUUUAUCUGUGAUGAUUAUGACAGUAGCAGAAGAAUAAGGAUCGGCUAACUACGUGCCAGCAGCCGCGGUAAAGUCGUACGAU
RNAcentral lists this ribosomal RNA (460 nucleotides) under uncultured bacterium. Its description in RNAcentral is "bacterial SSU rRNA". It matches the Rfam family "Bacterial small subunit ribosomal RNA", at positions 29 to 533 of the family's 1533-position model. The record is from RNAcentral.